GGGCGGUUAGCUCAGUUGGUAGAGCGCCUGCUUUACACGCAGGAUGUCGGCGGUUCGAGCCCGUCACUGCCCA
This 73-nucleotide transfer RNA is filed under the name Phreatobacter oligotrophus. Its description in RNAcentral is "tRNA-Val". It matches the Rfam family "tRNA". Rfam says of the family: Transfer RNA (tRNA) molecules are approximately 80 nucleotides in length. Their secondary structure includes four short double-helical elements and three loops (D, anti-codon, and T loops). The record is from RNAcentral. RNAcentral also lists the same sequence under 1 other name. Lineage: Bacteria; Pseudomonadati; Pseudomonadota; Alphaproteobacteria; Hyphomicrobiales; Phreatobacteraceae.